AGAGUUUGAUCUUGGCUCAGGAUGAACGCUAGCUACAGGCUUAACACAUGCAAGUCGAGGGGCAGCAUGGUCUUAGCUUGCUAAGGCUGAUGGCGACCGGCGCACGGGUGAGUAACACGUAUCCAACCUGCCGUCUGCUCUUGGCCAGCCUUCUGAAAGGAAGAUUAAUCCAGGAUGGCAUCAUGAGUUCACAUGUCCGCAUGAUUAAAGGUAUUUUCCGGUAGACGAUGGGGAUGCGUUCCAUUAGAUAGUAGGCGGGGUAACGGCCCACCUAGUCAACGAUGGAUAGGGGUUCUGAGGGGAAGGUCCCCCACAUUGGAACUGAGACACGGUCCAAACUCCUACGGGAGGCAGCAGUGAGGAAUAUUGGUCAAUGGGCGAUGGCCUGAACCAGCCAAGUAGCGUGAAGGAUGACUGCCCUAUGGGUUGUAAACUUCUUUUAUAAAGGAAUAAAGUCGGGUAUGCAUACCCGUUUGCAUGUACUUUAUGAAUAAGGAUCGGCUAACUCCGUGCCAGCAGCCGCGGUAAUACGGAGGAUCCGAGCGUUAUCCGGAUUUAUUGGGUUUAAAGGGAGCGUAGAUGGAUGUUUAAGUCAGUUGUGAAAGUUUGCGGCUCAACCGUAAAAUUGCAGUUGAUACUGGAUGUCUUGAGUGCAGUUGAGGCAGGCGGAAUUCGUGGUGUAGCGGUGAAAUGCUUAGAUAUCACGAAGAACUCCGAUUGCGA
This 723-nucleotide ribosomal RNA is filed under the name uncultured Bacteroidales bacterium. Its description in RNAcentral is "bacterial SSU rRNA". It matches the Rfam family "Bacterial small subunit ribosomal RNA", at positions 8 to 718 of the family's 1533-position model. The record is from RNAcentral. Lineage: Bacteria; Pseudomonadati; Bacteroidota; Bacteroidia; Bacteroidales.